RNAcentral lists this transfer RNA (82 nucleotides) under Phragmitibacter flavus. It matches the Rfam family "tRNA". From Rfam's summary of the family: Transfer RNA (tRNA) molecules are approximately 80 nucleotides in length. Their secondary structure includes four short double-helical elements and three loops (D, anti-codon, and T loops). Lineage: Bacteria; Pseudomonadati; Verrucomicrobiota; Verrucomicrobiia; Verrucomicrobiales; Verrucomicrobiaceae. The record is from Rfam by way of RNAcentral.
GCACGAGUGGCGGAAUUGGUAUACGCGCAGGAUUAAGGAUCCUGUGCCGCAAGGCUUAAGGGUUCGAGUCCCUUCUCGUGCA